Molecule: non-coding RNA, 1493 nt
Organism: Pseudonaja textilis
Lineage: Eukaryota; Metazoa; Chordata; Lepidosauria; Squamata; Elapidae
Source: RefSeq, a predicted model, not a curated record
CUUCACGGUUUACGCCUGCAAGAGCAAGAAUGCCCGGAACCCCCUGCUGAAGUGGGCGGUGGGCGAAGGGGCCCUCAACGAGUUUGCCUUCUCGCCCGACGGGCGCUACCUGGCGUGCGUCAGCCAAGACGGCUGCCUGCGUGUCUUCCACUUCGACUCCAUGCUGUUGCAGGGCAUGAUGAAGAGCUACUUUGGGGGGCUGCUGUGCGUCUGCUGGAGCCCCGACGGGCGCUACAUCGUCACGGGGGGCGAGGACGACCUGGUCACGGUGUGGUCCUUUGCGGAGGGACGGGUCAUCGCCCGGGGCCACGGCCACAAGUCCUGGGUCAACGCCGUGGCCUUCGACCCCUACACCACCAGCACGGAGGACGAGGAGAGCGGGGAGCUGAGUGGCAGCGACGAGGACCUCCAGGACCCGUCCGAGUUUGGGCGGGUGAGGACCAGCAGCACUCUCUCCCACCUGUCCAAGCACAGCGCCAAAAGCACCCCUUCGGUCACCUACCGCUUCGGCUCCGCCGGGCAGGACACCCAGUUCUGCCUCUGGGACCUGACGGAAGACGUCCUGUACCCCCACCCGCUGCUGACCCGCACCCGAACGCUCACCAACGCCUUCGGCGCCAGCAUCCCUCCCUCGGGCAGCGGGGGCAGCAACCUGGCCGCCGAGUCGGGCGGCGGAGGGGGCCCGCUCCCCCGCUCCCUCUCCCGCUCCAACAGCCUGCCCCACCCGGCCGUCACCAGUGCUGCCAAAAGCCACGCGGCGGACGGGGCGGUGCCCUUCAGCAUCGGCAAGUUCGCCACCCUCACCCUGCAGGAGCGGAGGGACAAGAACGCGGAGAAAGAGCACAAACGUUACCACAGCCUGGGCAACAUCAGCAAGAGCAGCGACAAGCUGAACGUGGUGCCCAAGAGCAAGCUGGACACGGCCAAGGUCUUGGGCACGGCCCUGUGCCCCCGCAUCCAUGAGGUGCCCCUGCUGGAGCCCCUGGUGUGCAAGAAGAUUGCCCACGAGCGGCUGACGGUCUUGCUUUUCCUGGAGGACUGUAUUAUCACCGCCUGCCAGGAAGGCCUGAUCUGCACCUGGGCCAGGCCAGGCAAGGCGAUCCUGAAUUCCCAGAACGGGGGCUCUCCCAGCGGCACAAUCGUGUAAGCGGCACUAACUCAACGCUCGGCUUGGAUACUGGAGUGGAACUGAUUGCGGUUCCUUCGCUCCACCGCAGCAAACGUGACCAAGACGGGAAAAGUUUUCUGACAUUUUCAACGUGUGUACAGGUUGUCUCUCUCCCCCCCCCCUUCCCUCCCCCCCUCGCCCGUGAAACCUGACUGUGUGGCAAGUUGGAAUCCUUAACCGCUAACCUCUCGAGGCCGACGACGUUAGUGCAGGAUGAACGGCGGCCUCUCCGCUAUUUAAAAAAAGUUCCAGUAUUUCUGUCGACCGGAGGUAUAGCCAUCCGUACCUCUUGUCCGGCAGAGGGUUCUCUCUCGGACUUCCUCUG